RNAcentral lists this ribosomal RNA (474 nucleotides) under uncultured bacterium. Its description in RNAcentral is "bacterial SSU rRNA". It matches the Rfam family "Bacterial small subunit ribosomal RNA", at positions 277 to 768 of the family's 1533-position model. The record is from RNAcentral.
CGAUCAGUAGCCGACCUGAGAGGGUGACCGGCCACAUUGGGACUGAGACACGGCCCAGACUCCUACGGGAGGCAGCAGUGGGGAAUAUUGCACAAUGGAGGAAACUCUGAUGCAGCGACGCCGCGUGAGUGAAGAAGUAAUUCGUUAUGUAAAGCUCUAUCAGCAGGGAAGAUAGUGACGGUACCUGACUAAGAAGCUCCGGCUAAAUACGUGCCAGCAGCCGCGGUAAUACGUAUGGAGCAAGCGUUAUCCGGAUUUACUGGGUGUAAAGGGAGUGUAGGUGGCCAUGCAAGUCAGAAGUGAAAAUCCGGGGCUCAACCCCGGAACUGCUUUUGAAACUGUAAGGCUAGAGUGCAGGAGGGGUGAGUGGAAUUCCUAGUGUAGCGGUGAAAUGCGUAGAUAUUAGGAGGAACACCAGUGGCGAAGGCGGCUCACUGGACUGUAACUGACACUGAGGCUCGAAAGCGUGGGGAG